RNAcentral lists this ribosomal RNA (344 nucleotides) under uncultured bacterium. RNAcentral's name for it is "bacterial SSU rRNA". It matches the Rfam family "Bacterial small subunit ribosomal RNA", at positions 1 to 334 of the family's 1533-position model. The record is from RNAcentral.
GUACUACUCUCAGAGUUUGAUCCUGGCUCAGGAUGAACGCUAGCGGCAGGCUUAACACAUGCAAGUCAGGGGCAGCAUGAAGGUUAGCAAUAACUUUUGAUGGCGACCGGCGCAAGGGUGCGUAACGCGUGAGCAACUUGCCCGUUUCUGGGGAAUAACCGGUGGAAACGCCGAUUAAUACCCCAUAGUAUCUUUUUCAGGCAUCUGUUAAAGAUUAAAGAACUUCGGAAACGGAUAGGCUCGCGUGACAUUAGCUAGAUGGCGGGGUAACGGCCCACCAUGGCGACGAUGUCUAGGGGUUCUGAGAGGAAGGUCCCCCACACUGGAACUGAGACACGGUCCAG